GAAGAGGUUUCCUGCAAGUCCUAAUUUCAUCCUGAAGGCAGCUCCGGCUUCUGUCUGAAGAUCUCCAGUGGGUACAAAGGGUAGCCGACUUUCUUCGAUCAGCACACAAGCGGAUGUUUGAUUUUAUUUAUUUGACAGAGAGAGACACAGCGAGACAGGGAACACAAGCUGGGGGAGCGGGAGAGGGAGAAGCAGACUCCCCGCUGAGCAGGGAGCCCGAUGCGGGGCUCGAUCCCAGGGCCCUGAGAUCAUGACCUGAGCCGAAGGCAGACGCUUAACCAUCUGAGCCACCCAGGCGCCCCUAAAAGGCCCCUUUUAAAAGACCAUUAAUCAUUUAAUGAUACCAUACCUGAUGCUUCAGCUGAGUGAUUUCUUUUUGACGUGAGCUUAUUUCAUUUUCUGCAAGUUUCCUUAAGUCUUCAUUUUCAUCUGCGAAAAUAAAGCAGCACUGAAUGAGGAUCUCGAGUACCGCAGUGGAGGGUAGUGUGGUCCGCUAGCGGGGUGGAGGUCACAGCCACGGAAGUCCUUUCCGGUACCAGCCUGGCUUUUCGUCUCCAAGAGUGAUCCGUAGGAGGGGCAUCGCUGUGUGUGUGUUUACUCCUCUUCCUCUUUUUCCGCCCAUGUCUCUCCGACGGUGGGUAAGGACGGGACUAGUCUACUCGAAGGCAACCAGGAGAGUGAUUUCCCCAAAUCUGCUUUCCUGCCUUUAUGUGCCACGAAAUUUACUUGCUUUCAAACGACUUCCUUCCUCACCGAGUCUCUUGCCCGUCCAUUCUCACUCCGAGUUAUCGAUAGCUACUUUUAAAAGAGAUUGAGUGAUUCCACGUCCCAAUAAACCACAGCGCAGCAAAACCUUCAGAGUCCCGCCUUCGGUAGCCCAACCUCCAUCUGCCGCCAAAAACCUUGAGAUCGCGGAUUGGUGCCAGGGAUACCGAGGUUUAUUGGUAUAACGUUUUGCAUUUUUUCAAAAGAGCUUUUCACAGCCCACCGGAGGGAUGGAUAUGGGGGUAUAAAUAUAACCAAGACAGUCCUGGGGAUGCAAGGGCUGACUCAAUCCGGGAAUUCCACUACCUGACUGGUUUGCGCAGUGUACUAAAUGUUUUCACUGUUGAGAGAGCUGAAAUACUGAACACGCUUGCAGUUUGUUUUUUAAAAAAUCAAGUGGUAAAUACGGGAGCCCUUGGCAAGGUUAAGUCAUCCCGAAGUCGUCUAAUCAAAACUACUGAGGUUUGGUAUAAAAUUCUUGGAAGAUGAGCUUGCAUUAUCUCUUAUUCACUCCUUAGCUCUACAUACAAAUGCAAAGUGAAGUGGAGGAAUGAGAUGACUCUCCAAAUUAUAUAAAGCAAAAAUAGAUUUUGCUACUUAAAAGCUCCAACUGAUUACCUCAACUAUUCGUUUCACUUUGUGUAUUCAAGCCACACUGCUUUAUAAAAUCGUUUUUCUUUAAGAUAGUGGUUGAAACCCAUUUUAAUUCUGAUCGGAGUACAGAACAGUACUGAUCAGGUCGUUUUUUAAUCUUUAUUAGAAUCAGCUAUUUCCCAAGUCUAAACUCUGAAUUUUUUUUAAACCAUAGAAAUGGUGGGAGUCACUUGAACGCAGUAUGAUAAAUUUCUCAGCUGAAUUCUCAAGUCAUUUCAAGAAUAUUAUUUAUAAAAGGUGAAAAAACCUGAUGGAACGCUGUGAAGAAUCCAGCCAGAAAUUAUUGUAUUCCCUAAGAUGUAUAAGCAAUUUAAGUAAUAUAAAUAAGUGUACCUUUUACUCCUAUAGUGUUACACCAAUGAGGAAACAGUAACUUGUCUAAGGAUACAUUGGUGAAUUCUUUAUUAAUUCAAAACAUUUUUAAAAAGUGUAAUGCAUGUGCAUUUUACAAUAAUAUCCAUAGGUUUCCACAGUAUCGUUAAAUGAAAACAACUGUAGUUUGAUUUACUUUGAAAACUAAAAAAAAAAAAAAAAAAAAAAAAUAGUGUGAGACUUCUGAAUUUCCUUACAUUAUUGUCAUGCUCAAAUUCUCUGUACAUAGGUAAAAUGAUAAAAUAGAUUAAAGGAUGGGGAAAUAAAAACCCAAAACAACUUAAAUUGGAGGAAAAAUCUAGAUUAUUCAAUUUAUAAGUACCUACAGUUAUUCUGACACUGCAAAAUAACCAAGCAUGUGUCUCAAGUUGCAUUCAUGCAUUCAAAAUUCCUUUAUGGUCCACUAUUAUGAGUGGACUACAAAAUAUGGAUAUAGAUUAUUAAGUACAAUGAACAUGGUAGCAAAAAACUGCACACAUUCAAUAUGAUAAAUUUUACAGAACCAACACAUUGAAAUUAUUUUUUUAUGUUUAGCAAACACCCUAAAAUCAUAUACAAGAAGCUGUAUUUAUGACAAAUAGGUUAAAGCAAGGGGGAAAAAUCAAGUCUUUUAUAUUAUUUCAAUAAUCAGUGUUCAUUGUUCUGUUGAGGGCAAUAUGGAAAAGCACUCAACACAAUGAUUACUGAUUUAAAUUACCUCUUAUGACAAUUAAACUAAAGUCUUUGCUAUCCAAGGGAUGUAAAGGAUAAAGUAAAGAUAGUUCAAGGGAAAAAAAUUCACUUUCACCUCCAUUAAGUGAAUAUUCAAGCUAACAUAGUUUUGGAGUUUUAUUUUCCCAUUGCACUGUAUUUUCUCCAUGGUAUUUGUUAGCAGUCAUUUAAUGGAACCUAACAGCAGUACUGAGGAAUCUGCUCAGAAUUUUUUUAGCUCAGCUUCGAUGUCCAGUACAUUUACCUCUAAUAUGAUCUCUUAA
Mirounga angustirostris (Northern elephant seal) is the source of this 2765-nucleotide long non-coding RNA. RefSeq lists it as uncharacterized. The record is from RefSeq and is a predicted model, not a curated record. The transcript has 4 exons. NCBI's taxonomy places the organism in Eukaryota, Metazoa, Chordata, Mammalia, Carnivora, Phocidae.